Molecule: ribosomal RNA, 292 nt
Filed under: uncultured bacterium
Lineage: Bacteria
Description: partial 16S ribosomal RNA
Rfam family: Bacterial small subunit ribosomal RNA
Source: RNAcentral
GUGUCAGCAGCCGCGGUAAUACGGAGGAGGCAAGCGUUAUCCGGAAUUAUUGGGCGUAAAGCGUCCGUAGGUGGUGAUUCAAGUCUGCUGUUAAAGCAUGGAGCUUAACUCCAUAUCGGCAGUGGAAACUGAAUUGCUAGAGUGCGAUAGGGGCAAGGGGAAUUCCCAGUGUAGCGGUGAAAUGCGUAGAUAUUGGGAAGAACACCGGUGGCGAAAGCGCCUUGCUGGGUCUGCACUGACACUGAGGGACGAAAGCUAGGGGAGCGAAAGGGAUUAGAUACCCCCGUAGUCC